GCGCCUGUAGCUCAGUUGGAUAGAGCAUCGGAUUUCUAAUCCGACGGUCGGGGGUUCGAUCCCCUCCAGGCGCGCCA
RNAcentral lists this transfer RNA (77 nucleotides) under Candidatus Eiseniibacteriota bacterium. RNAcentral describes it as "tRNA-Arg". It matches the Rfam family "tRNA". Rfam says of the family: Transfer RNA (tRNA) molecules are approximately 80 nucleotides in length. Their secondary structure includes four short double-helical elements and three loops (D, anti-codon, and T loops). Further hydrogen bonds mediate the characteristic L-shaped molecular structure. tRNAs have two regions of fundamental functional importance: the anti-codon, which is responsible for specific mRNA codon recognition, and the 3' end, to which the tRNAs corresponding amino acid is attached (by aminoacyl-tRNA synthetases). tRNAs cope with the degeneracy of the genetic code in two manners: having more than one tRNA (with a specific anti-codon) for a particular amino acid; and 'wobble' base-pairing, i.e. permitting non-standard base-pairing at the 3rd anti-codon position. Lineage: Bacteria; Candidatus Eiseniibacteriota. The record is from RNAcentral.